AAUUAGUGUUAUUACAAAUCCAUUUGUCCCCACGCAGGAAAUUUCUAUGUCUAAAAUUAUAAUAAUAAUGGUCGGCAAUUGCUCCAGCGUCAGUGGAUAUUCAUAAUGAUAAUUACCUGAAUCAUACUACGCCGUUCAAAAUCGUCUAUAUAAAAGCCACACUUUAAAACUACUGGAAAUUGUCACGAUGAAAUUCUCGCUGGUUUUCGGUUUUGUGGUGUUAGGUAUAUUUGUGAUGGGGUCGGAGGCUGCACCUCAACAGUCUCAACCUCCACAGGGAGUACCACAAGGUGGACCAACCGGACCGAAAAGUUUUCGAGUUGAUGAUACUUUUAGUGCCAAGUUUGGAGGUGGCGGUCCCAAGGGAGGUGGUGGUGGUCCUCACUAAAUACUUUUUCUGGCAAAUUAAAUACAGGUCAACAAAUUGACUGCACCGUUUUUAAAGUGGAAAUUUUCAAAAUAAUUUAAAUAUUCUGGUAUAUUUAAAUAUAGCGGAGAUUGCUUUCUACAAAUGCUUUUUUUAUUUGUAAUGGAAUAAAAUGUGAAAAUA
Zophobas morio is the source of this 550-nucleotide long non-coding RNA. RefSeq lists it as uncharacterized. The record is from RefSeq and is a predicted model, not a curated record. NCBI's taxonomy places the organism in Eukaryota, Metazoa, Arthropoda, Insecta, Coleoptera, Tenebrionidae. The transcript is spliced from 2 exons.